UGGGGAAUAUUGGACAAUGGGCGCAAGCCUGAUCCAGCAAUGCCGCGUGUGUGAAGAAGGCCUUCGGGUUGUAAAGCACUUUUAUCAGGAGCGAAACGCUGUCGGCUAAUACCCGGCGGAACUGACGGUACCUGAGGAAUAAGCACCGGCUAACUUCGUGCCAGCAGCCGCGGUAAUACGAAGGGUGCAAGCGUUAAUCGGAAUUACUGGGCGUAAAACGUGCGUAGGCGGUUUCUUAAGUCUGCUGUGAAAUCCCCGGGCUCAACCUGGGAAUGGCAGUGGAUACUGGGAGGCUAGAGUGUGUCAGAGGGUGGUGGAAUUCCCGGUGUAGCGGUGAAAUGCGUAGAGAUCGGGAGGAACAUCAGUGGCGAAGGCGGCCACCUGGGACAACACUGACGCUGAGGCACGAAAGCGUGGGGGAGCAAACAGGAUUAGAUACCCUGGUAGUCCACGCCCUAAAGCGAUGGCGAACUGGAUGUUGGUCUCAACUCGGAGAUCAGUGUCGAAGCUAACGCGUUAAGUUCGCCGCCUGGGGAGU
Molecule: ribosomal RNA, 538 nt
Filed under: uncultured bacterium
Lineage: Bacteria
Description: partial 16S ribosomal RNA
Rfam family: Bacterial small subunit ribosomal RNA
Source: RNAcentral